Molecule: ribosomal RNA, 253 nt
Filed under: uncultured bacterium
Lineage: Bacteria
Description: partial 16S ribosomal RNA
Rfam family: Bacterial small subunit ribosomal RNA
Source: RNAcentral
UACGUAGGUGACCAGCGUUGUCCGGAUUUACUGGGCGUAAAGAGCGCGCAGGCGGUCGUUCAAGUCGAGUGUGAAAGCCCCCGGCUCAACUGGGGAGGGUCAUUCGAUACUGAUCGACUCGAAGGCAGGAGAGGGAAGCGGAAUUCCCGGUGUAGUGGUGAAAUGCGUAGAUAUCUGGAGGAAUACCGGUGGCGAAGGCGGCAUCCUGGACCGACAUUGACGCUGAGGAGCGAAAGCUAGGGGAGCAAACGGG